This 625-nucleotide ribosomal RNA is filed under the name uncultured bacterium. Its description in RNAcentral is "bacterial SSU rRNA". The stretch from base 1 to 533 matches the Rfam family "Bacterial small subunit ribosomal RNA", at positions 338 to 873 of the family's 1533-position model. The record is from RNAcentral.
CCUACGGGAGGCAGCAGUGAGGAAUAUUGGACAAUGGGCGCAAGCCUGAUCCAGCCAUGCCGCGUGCAGGAUGACGGUCCUAUGGAUUGUAAACUGCUUUUAUACGGGAAGAGACCCUGGCUCGUGAGCCAGAUUGACGGUACCGUAAGAAUAAGGAUCGGCUAACUCCGUGCCAGCAGCCGCGGUAAUACGGAGGAUCCAAGCGUUAUCCGGAAUCAUUGGGUUUAAAGGGUCCGUAGGCGGUUUAAUAAGUCAGUGGUGAAAGCCCAUCGCUCAACGGUGGAACGGCCAUUGAUACUGUUAGACUUGAAUUAUUAGGAAGUAACUAGAAUAUGUAGUGUAGCGGUGAAAUGCUUAGAGAUUACAUGGAAUACCAAUUGCGAAGGCAGGUUACUACUAAUUGAUUGACGCUGAUGGACGAAAGCGUGGGUAGCGAACAGGAUUAGAUACCCUGGUAGUCCACGCCGUAAACGAUGGAUACUAGCUGUUGGGAAGUAAUCUCAGUGNGUAGAGAAGUAGAUAAGUAUACCACCUCGGGAGGUACGGUUCGUCGAAGAAGUAGAACGUACGAAGUAAGUAGUAGGUACGUGAGAGAGACGACGACGACGACGACGGAGGGAGGAGG